CAGCCGCCACGGUAAAGCCAGCACCUCGAGUGGUCAGGAGGUUUAUUGGGCCUAAGCAUCCGUAGCCGGUUGCAUAAGUUUUCGGUUAAAUCUAUGCGCUUAACGUAUAGGCCGCCGAAAAUACUGUGCAGCUAGGGAGUGGGAGAGGUACACGGUACUCGAUAGGAAGGGGUAAAAUCCUUUGAUCUAUUGAUGACCACCUGUGGCGAAGGCAGUGUACCAGAACACGUUCGACGGUGAGGGAUGAAAGCUGGGGGAGCAAACCGGAUUAGAUACCCCCGUAGUCCCUGUCUCUUAUACA
Molecule: ribosomal RNA, 301 nt
Filed under: uncultured bacterium
Lineage: Bacteria
Description: partial 16S ribosomal RNA
Rfam family: Archaeal small subunit ribosomal RNA
Source: RNAcentral